UAAAUUUUGAAGCUAUAGAGUCUAACAACCCUCCAGAAAAAGAAUUGACCGAAUCGGUAGAAUCAUAUGGAUUCACGUGAUUUACUAUAGAAUCAUAAGAUUUAGUCAAGAUUCAGGUAUAUUUGAGAUUGAACGUAUAGAUUUGAAAAUGAGGAUUCGAAUCAAAUUGUAAGAUUCAUAUGGAGAAUCGUAAGAUUCUAACAACAG
RNAcentral lists this unclassified non-coding RNA (207 nucleotides) under Hevea brasiliensis (rubber tree). Lineage: Eukaryota; Viridiplantae; Streptophyta; Magnoliopsida; Malpighiales; Euphorbiaceae. The record is from RNAcentral.